AAAGAAUUAGUUUAAAAAAUACAUUAAUAUGUCAUAUUAAAAUUAUUAGAUUUCUAAUAUUCUUUU
Molecule: transfer RNA, 66 nt
Filed under: Runaria sp. 'striata'
Lineage: Eukaryota; Metazoa; Arthropoda; Insecta; Hymenoptera; Blasticotomidae
Description: tRNA-Asp
Source: RNAcentral